CCCCUAGACGUUCUGGGCUGCACGCGCGCUACAAUAAUACGCACAGCGAGUAUCACCGAGCUCGAAAGGGCAAGGUAAACAAUAGAAAAGGUACUGUAAUGGUUAUAGAUCCUUGUAAUUAUUGAUCUUCAACGAGGAAUUCCUAGUAAGUAUGUGUCAUCAUCACGCACUGAUUACGUCCCUGCCCUUUGUACACACCGCCCGUCGCUCCUACCGAUUGGGUGAGCCGAUGAAACUCUCGGAUGUAGGCUAUUCAUAGCCCGCAGAAGAGAUUUGAAUCGUNGNGCUUAGNGGAAGGAGAANUCGUANCA
Molecule: ribosomal RNA, 311 nt
Filed under: uncultured eukaryote
Lineage: Eukaryota
Description: partial 18S ribosomal RNA
Rfam family: Eukaryotic small subunit ribosomal RNA
Source: RNAcentral